Molecule: long non-coding RNA, 392 nt
Filed under: Amphibalanus amphitrite
Lineage: Eukaryota; Metazoa; Arthropoda; Thecostraca; Balanomorpha; Balanidae
Description: uncharacterized LOC122385372
Source: RNAcentral
UUACUUUGGUUGUUACGCAAAGUUUUAAUAUGUUUGUUUAAUAAUAUAAACACGUUUUCAUGUGUUUGAAGGUCGCAAAAGCUAAACAUAAGUGGCAACCACACUUUGUAUUACGUUUCGUCUCAUAUAUCAUGAAGAACAACUAAGUAUUUCAAGCUGGGAUCAUGCUGAGGAACCCCAACCAAGGAAAGCUGAGGCGAGGGCGAGUAGGUCCCUGAGGAGGACCACUGCAAAGAAAGGAGGUCAAGGAGAUUCUGGGAGCAACCUGCGAGCAACCUCUAGAUCAGCCAGCAGGCACCUCUGACAAUGCCGCUGCCGGUGUCGACGCUGGCAGCCAUGGCCGGCGCCGAGCUGACGAGUUCCAACCUGGAAGCUCAGCGCGAGGGGCUGGC